Molecule: ribosomal RNA, 274 nt
Filed under: uncultured bacterium
Lineage: Bacteria
Description: partial 16S ribosomal RNA
Rfam family: Bacterial small subunit ribosomal RNA
Source: RNAcentral
AUACGGAGGAUGCGAGCGUUAUCCGGAUUUAUUAGGUUUAAAGGGUGUGUAGGCGGUAUUUUAAGUCAGUGGUGAAAUCUCGGAGCUUAACUUCGAAACUGCCAUUGAUACUGGAAUACUUGAGUAUAGUUGAGGUAGGCGGAAUAUGUAAUGUAGCGGUGAAAUGCAUAGAUAUUACAUAGAACACCGAUUGCGAAGGCAGCUUGCUAAACUAUUACUGACGCUGAUGCACGAAAGCGUGGGGAGCGAACAGGAUUAGAAACCCUAGUAGUCC